GUGGCGCUAAUUUGCACACUACACUGAUUCCUUACCGCUCUUUGGAAAAACACAGAAGAAGAAAAGUUUGAACAACGCAGCAAGGCGGGAAGCAGCAGACAGUAGGGUUGCAGAAACUACCUACGCAGCAGCAAUCAGGCUCACUGGACUUACUUUUCAAGAAGUUAAGGAAGAUAACUGGAGAUGUGAUAACGAUACCAGAAGACUGAGAAGAAACUGCCCCUCAUUAGAAAGAUGAUGGAGACCACAUUUCCCCUACACCGACAGACCAUAGUGAUGUCCUGCCCACCAGUGAACGACCUCAUGGACCUCUGGCCUGCUCUCAAAAUAGAGUCUGAGUUGUAUGCAGAGUUCCAGCGGAUUACAAAUCAGAACCUGCCCAACACGUGCUAUGCUGAGCUUGACCGCUAUCUUCCUCGACUGAUGACCUUAUUCAGACGGAAGGCAUCAAAAACUGGGAAGACAGCAGAUGCUCUGGCUGAAAUUUUAAAA
Long non-coding RNA from Perca fluviatilis (European perch), 492 nucleotides. RefSeq lists it as uncharacterized. Lineage: Eukaryota; Metazoa; Chordata; Actinopteri; Perciformes; Percidae. The record is from RefSeq and is a predicted model, not a curated record. The transcript is spliced from 4 exons.